This 509-nucleotide ribosomal RNA is filed under the name uncultured soil bacterium. RNAcentral's name for it is "bacterial SSU rRNA". It matches the Rfam family "Bacterial small subunit ribosomal RNA", at positions 8 to 493 of the family's 1533-position model. The record is from RNAcentral.
AGAGUUUGAUCCUGGCUCAGAACGAACGCUGGCGGCGUGCCUAACACAUGCAAGUCGAGCGAGAAAGGGGUAGCAAUACCCCGAGUAAAGCGGCGCACGGGUGAGUAACACGUAGGUAACCUACCUCUAAGGCCGGGAUAACCCGUCGAAAGAUGGACUAAUACCAGAUAAGACCACAGUCUCUACGGUGAUCGGGGUCAAAGGUGGCCUCUGCAUGCAAGCUAUCACUUAGAGAUGGGCCUGCGCACCAUUAGCUAGUUGGUAGGGUAACGGCCUACCAAGGCAAAGAUGGUUAGCUGGUCUGAGAGGAUGACCAGCCACACUGGAACUGAGACACGGUCCAGACUCCUACGGGAGGCAGCAGUGGGGAAUCUUGCGCAAUGGGCGAAAGCCUGACGCAGCAACGCCGUGUGGGUGAUGAAGGCCUUCGGGUCGUAAAGCCCUGUCGGAAGGAACGAAUGUCUCUGGGGUGAACAAUCCCAGGGAGUGACGGUACCUCAACGAAGCCG